This is a long non-coding RNA of Felis catus (domestic cat), 2770 nucleotides long. RefSeq lists it as uncharacterized. The transcript is spliced from 4 exons. NCBI's taxonomy places the organism in Eukaryota, Metazoa, Chordata, Mammalia, Carnivora, Felidae. The record is from RefSeq and is a predicted model, not a curated record.
GCGGGCGCUGCGCCGCUAGCGUAGGGCCGCCUGCGCCAACUGCGUGAGCACGGCCCGCCGGGUGCUUGGCCUGGACGGUCUGGCAGGCUCACCGGGCACGGCCAGGGAAGGGGGAGGGUACGGCAUGGAGCAGGUGGAAGGAAUAGGCUGUGCGCCCGGCGUCCCGCGCUGGCCUGCGAAGUGGGCUGGAACGUUGCAGUCUCGACGGUGCCCUGAGCUUUGCGUGCUGCACCCAACCCCCGCCCCUGCCCGAGCCGCCAGGUAGUCCCGGGCUGCACCGGCGAGAGGAGGAGCCUCCGUGGCGGCAGCGCGCAGCUUCCUCUCCGCCGCAAUCUCGGCCUGGCUCGGUGGGAGGUCGGCCAACGGGAGUUUCAGUUCGAACUUAGGUGUGUGGUGCGUUGACGGGAAUGCCGGCGAGACAGUUUGCGGUUUGUCAUUUUCGCUGCCCUUUGCAGUGGUCGUCGGGGAACCCGGGCGAGGACCAACCCCCUCCCCCACCCCGCGCGGGACGCGCAGGUGGCGGCCAGGGUUCUCGGCUUGAUGGAAAGCGAAAGAAACUCAAUUUUCAGCAGACGUGCAGCCGCGGACCAAAAAGAAUAAGUUUUUUUUUUUUUUCAACGUUUUUCUCUUCCUUUGUCCUCCUCCCCCACCCCCCGCAACACGAACUACAAAUAAAACUUCAGCGUUUCCUGGAAUAUCUUGUUCACGACCUGACAUCACCGAUUUGGGAUACCCCUCUCACCUAGAGAGAGACACGGAGGGCGCGUGUCCCCUUAUACAUCUUUAUUUUUUCUUCCGCUGUUUUGGGGAAGGGCAGUGGUUUACGGGACCACAUAGAGCGAGUUUGGGGAAGGAAGCUAGGCUGUGCAGGAAAGUGCUCGAUAAUAUCAUCCUCGGCCAGUCCCUCCUUCUCCCCCCCGGCCCUGCCCCGCCCCGCCCCGCCUCUAAAUCCGAUGCCUCUAGCCGCACGUCCUUCCAAGGAGGGUCUGGCCACGGUCUGGGUUCCCUCCGCCCCGACUCCUGCAGUCCCCAAGUUGCCUAACUUGGCGUUCCGAACCCUUCCAGUCCCUGGGGCAGUCUCGGCGAUAAGAUACCAUACUUCCCAGUUGUUUCCAGAUGUUCCAAGUGAGGAAAUCUUGUCAUUUAUGGGAUAACUGGCUCCCUAAAAGGACAUUUUCAAAGGGAUGCCAGAGCACAACGAAUGCUCAUGGUGCCUGUAUGCUUCUCCUUCCAGUGCUAAAACUGAGUUGGUUGGUUAUGAAGCCUUUGCACUCCAGUCUGAAAUUACAACACUGAAGAGUAAUCCUCGCAAUAUAUUCAGUGUAUGCUGUGGACACAGCAUAUUUUUCAGCACACUCAACUGGAAUCAUCAGAGAUAGAGCAGUUGUUCAAAAAGUCUCAAGAGUUAAAAACAACAACAACAAUACAAAGAGAUGAGACCUGGUCUGAGGAACUUUGAGGAAGAAGGAAGAAUUGCCAACCUCACAGAAGGGCUUUGUUUGGAAACUGCCUCAGUCAGUUUGAACCAGAGGAGCCUUGACUUUUAAUCAACCCAGAGAAGGGAAGGACAGAGCACCUCCAUAAAGAGGAAAAAGCAGUUUUACAUGGAAUUAUCAUUAGGACUUUGUUUCAAAAUCAGCUAUAAAAAGGAUAUGUGGAUAAAAAUGAAACAUGCUAUAAAUUUAAAAAUAUAUGCACCAAAACAAUCUUGAAAAAGAACAAAAUUGAAAGACUCCUGCCUUCUGGUUUCAAAACUAACCAUAAAGCAACAAUAAUCAAGAUAUUAUGGUACUGGUAUAUGGAACAGACAUAUAGGUCAGUGGAGAUAAUCCAGACAGCCACAUGUGAAGAAUGAAGUUGGAUCCAAACCUCACAGCAGAUACAAAAAUUACCCAAAAUGGAUCAAAGGCCAAAUGUAAAGGGUAGAAUUAUAAAACUUUUGGAAGAUACCGUAGGAGUAAAUCUUUGUGAUCUUGUAUUUCAUAAUCGUUUUCUUAGAUAUCACACCGAAAGCACAAGCAGCAAAGGAAGAAACAGACAAAUUAGACUUUAUAAAAAUGAAUAACCUUUUUGUUUCACAGGAUACUAUCAAGAAAUUGAAGGGACAGCCCCGAGAAGGAACUUGUAUCUAGAAUAUGUAAAGAAUUUUUACAGCACAAUAAUAAAAAGACAACCCAAUUUGGAAAGAGGCUAAGGAUUGGAAUAAACAUUUCUCCAAGGAAGAUAUACAAGUGGUUACUGAGCACAUGAAAAGAUGCCUAACAGUAACUAUGAGGAAAAGACAAAUAAAAAGCACAGUGAGGAGGUGUUUGUCUGGCUCAGACAUUAGGGCAUGCGAUUCUUGACCUCGGGGUUGUGAGUGUGUGCCCCAUGCUGGGUGUAGAGAUUACUUAAAAAUAAAAUCUUUUUUUUUUUUUAAAAAAAGCACAAUGAAAUACCACUUAUUACCUACUGAUGGUUAUUAAUAAAAACGACAGAAAAUGGCAAGUGUUGGUGAGAUUGUGGAGACAUUGCUGUGCAAAUGUAAAAUGGAGCAGCCACCCUGAAAGUGUGGCAACUCCUCAGAAUGUUACACAUGGAGUUACCAUACGACCCUGCAAUUCCACUCCCAGUUGUAUAUCUGAAAGAACCAAAAACAUAGUCUACAGAAAGACUUGUACAUGGGUGAUCAUAGCAGUAUUAUUUGUAAGAGCCCAAAUGUUCAUCAACUGAUGAAUGGCUAAAACAAAAUAUGACCAUACAAUGAAAUAUUAGCCAGCCAUAAAAAAGG